CAGGAAGGCAGCAGCAGCAAGCGGCAUCCAUCGG
RNAcentral lists this non-coding RNA (34 nucleotides) under Scrippsiella hangoei. The record is from RNAcentral. Lineage: Eukaryota; Dinophyceae; Peridiniales; Peridiniaceae.